Molecule: long non-coding RNA, 22433 nt
Filed under: Elaeis guineensis (African oil palm)
Lineage: Eukaryota; Viridiplantae; Streptophyta; Magnoliopsida; Arecales; Arecaceae
Description: long non-coding RNA (EGUI_LNC011146)
Source: RNAcentral
GCUUUUUUUGCCUCACCAAUUAAAAAACACCACCCACUUAUCUCAUCUUUUUAACGUUGUUCUAAACAUUGUUCGCGUUUCUUGUGCCUAUGUUUCACAAAUCUUCCUCGUAUUUAUUUUAUUUAUAAAAUAUUUCAUAUUUUUUUAUCCACGGACAGUGGAUCAAUGGAUCUAGGUACACCAGACCAAGGACAAAAGCAGUUGACCCAUCAAGUCCUUUCCAAAUUUCUCAUAUCGUACAAUUAUUGAUCCUUAAAAAAAGAAACAUCAUUUUCCCAAAGCAAUGAUGUGUGGCCACGCACGAGUUUCCGUAGGGAAACAACUAUUCGCCUCGUGGAGCUCGAGCUCGAGAGUAUUCCUUCCACCGUGCGAUGGGACAUGGGCUUUUCCGAGAGAUUCCUCACCGGUGCCACGAAUCCAAAAUGGCACGGGGCCUCCCUAGGUUCACCGAAUGGAACGCACAUCUUUCGUUAGUUGCGAGGCCAAAAUACCCCAUUGGAAUCAUGUGAAAGUUUCCAAUAGUCUACAUCAACGACAAGAUGUCAAGUUGUCAAUUUAAGCUGGUACCAGUGGUCCGUAGCCUGGUCUACAGGGCCGAGACCGGUCCUGCGACCUUAUCGACAGGGCGGUGGUGCGAUCACACACCGAACAUUGCACCCAUCGCUGGCAUGAAGGACAAAAGCACUUGAACCCACUAAGUCGGUGCUGUGAGGAACACUGACGCGGUUCAAUAUGGAACCUACUUCUCCGGCCACUAAUGGGAUUAGAUUCUUAAUUUUAUCACAUGGAGAUUAGCUUUUGCAAUGUCUUUAUUCUCCUUAAAUAUGCAUCUAUAGUUAAAUCUAGCUAAAAGAAAUUCUAAGAUACCAUGAUCAUGAAGUGUCAUGCAAAGUUUUGUGGGUCAUGUUUAAGGUAAUAUUUGUUCUCUCAUGAGAUGAUCGGCAAGAGUAGUCCUCAUGUUUGAAAAUUAUAGAACUACUUUUCAAUGAUUUUAUUUUGUAUGGACAUAUAAAUUGAAGAUCAGGUUGGAAAUGUUUGAUAACUCUUCAACAAAUAUAUCAUCUACUCUUAGAAGAAAUGCAACAAAAGCUAGCUAGAUUUAGACUAUGAAGAUGAUUUACCAUACUGAUUAAAGUAAUAAUUAUUUAAUUAUCAUAUAUUUAUUUUUUUAGAUAUUUUUAAUUUAUUAGAUACCAAAUUAUCCUUAAUUGCUGACUUACAAAUUUUUAAAGGGAUGUUUUACGGCGCUUCUUUAUUAUAUUUUAUCAUAAAAAAUAUUUUAGAUAUUACACAUUAUCAUUUUUAUAUAUUUUAUUUUUUAAAAAAAUAAUAUUUUAUUAUUAUUUUUUUAUCCUUUCUUUCUUUUUCCUCAUGGCUCCGCGACCUCUCUCUGCUCACGGUGUCUCCGCGCCCACCCUCGCGCCACCCAUGACUUCUGCUCGUCGCUUCUCCGCACAGCCCUCUAAUCAUCUGCGGCUCAUUCGGCCCCCCACUAGCCCAUGAUUCCCCUAGUCCACCUGAUGUCUACAGCUCCUCCUUCGCCCAAGGCCCCUCCACCUGAUGCCCAUGGCUCCUCUACCUUCGAUCCACAACUCUCCACCCGAUAAGUGACAUAUUUUUAUAUUUAUUGUAGAUAUUUUUGAUAAUUUAUGGUGCUAACAGAUUUUUAAAAAUCUAAUUUUAUGAAUAAAUUAAUUUUUUUAGAAAAAAUAAAUAAUUUAAAAAAAUAUAAAAUUAGAACAUAUUUAUAAAAAAUAGAUAUUAAUCUAAUUGAGUAAUUUAAGUACCAAAAUAAUAAAAAAAAUUAAAAAAAUUUAAUGUAUAUAUUUUUUUUAAUUUUUCAGACAAAAAAUAAAGUAAAAAUCAAGCCAAAAUAUCCAAAAAAAAUAAUUUUUAUAGCUUUCGAUGCACGGUGGAUCGGCUGCUCGGUUCACAGAAUUAGGGCACGAUCCAUUGAAAAUAUUUCACGAUCCACAGGUGCGGUCUACAACGGAAGGAAGGCUUUUUGUGCAAUCCGAUGGUCCACAUUCCUCCCGACCCAGAUCGAACGACUGACAGCAUUUUCGAGUGUAAUAAGGAUUCCUGGAUGUGAUUUGACAACUCAGAUUUCAUCCAUCGCACGAUCUAAUGGCUGAAGACGCUCUCGACUUUCAAUAGGAGAUCAAAGGCACGAUCUAAUGGUCCAGAUCUCAUCUGAAGCACGAUCGGAUGGUCAGAAUCGCAUCCGAACGUAAUAAGGAGAAAGAAACUAUUUUUUGGGCUAAUCUGGGUGGUCCAAAGAUGAUCCGACGGUCAAAAAAAAUUUUAAGGAUUUUAUAUAAUUUCUAAAGAUUUUAGGACUCCUUUUCCUAUCAAAAAAAUAUAAAAAAUUUAUCUAUAAAUAGGAUGUCCGGGAAUAAGCCUUGGGAGCAAAAAAAUUGAGUGAAAAAUUAGAAAAAAAAUAAAAAAUAUUAAAACUUUAGGGACCCAAGGAGAAGAAGAAGAAAAGUCGGUUCGCUCUGCAGAGUACGAUGAAAGAAGGAGAGAUCAUCAACCAUCUUUUCGAUGAGGCUGGGUUGUUCAAUUUCAGAUCUUUGUUAUAGUUUUAUUUUUAUUUUAUUUUAUUAUUUUUUUAAAAUUUUUUAUACUUGAAUUUUAAUUUUAAUUAAUAUNNNNNNNNNNNNNNNNNNNNNNNNNNNNNNNNNNNNNNNNNNNNNNNNNNNNNNNNNNNNNNNNNNNNNNNNNNNNNNNNNNNNNNNNNNNNNNNNNNNNNNNNNNNNNNNNNNNNNNNNNNNNNNNNNNNNNNNNNNNNNNNNNNNNNNNNNNNNNNNNNNNNNNNNNNNNNNNNNNNNNNNNNNNNNNNNNNNNNNNNNNNNNNNNNNNNNNNNNNNNNNNNNNNNNNNNNNNNNNNNNNNNNNNNNNNNNNNNNNNNNNNNNNNNNNNNNNNNNNNNNNNNNNNNNNNNNNNNNNNNNNNNNNNNNNNNNNNNNNNNNNNNNNNNNNNNNNNNNNNNNNNNNNNNNNNNNNNNNNNNNNNNNNNNNNNNNNNNNNNNNNNNNNNNNNNAAAAUUUAUUUUCUUACAUUUUAAAUUUUUAUCUUUUAUUUUUUUAUAAGUAGAUGCUAGGAUCUAGUUAGUAGAUCUUAGUACCAAUUUAUUUUAUGCACUUUAAAUUUUUAUUAUUUAUUUUUAUUGCAAGUAGAUGCUAGGAUCUAGUUAGUAGAUUUUAAUAAUCGAUUUAUUUUUUAUGCUUUUAAUUUUUAUUUUUUGACUUAAAAUUACUUUUUAAAAAUUUUAUUUUCUUCUAAAAUCAAAGAUUUUAAAUCAAAAUCUUGCCUUCUCCGUGGAUUCGACCCGACUCGCUACUUUCUAUAUAUUUUUAAUUUUUAUUAAUAUCAAAAUUAGAUUGAUAAUCACGAUGUCCUAACGAUAACAUCAUGAUCGUAUCAAUUUUUGAUGCUGUUGUCGGAGAAAAAGAAAAAAUUCAGAAAAAAAAAGAGAUAGAAAGCUUCCAAUUUUGUUUGGUGAGAUCAAUCCUAAUCCUAACCCUAACAAUUUUUUAGUAUUAAUUAUUAUUUUUUUUUCAAAUUAACCUAAAAUUCACCCACAUAAACCUAAUAAAAAUUGCAUAAUAAGACUAGAAAUUUAAUUAUUUAGAAGCAUUCAUUAUCUUAGAUUUUCUUUUGGUGAUUGCUGGAGAAAAGGUAAGCUUUCAAGUUUGAUUAAUUUUAUGCAUCUAAUUUAGUUGCAUAGAAUUUCUUGUUUGAAAUUGGUUGUGCAUAUUCAUCUCAAAUCAAUUAAAGGGCAACACUCAUAACAAGAUAAAGUGGGGAUCUCGUCACCCUUCCUUAAGCCCAAAAAUAACCAACCAGCAUCCCGCAUUAACCCUAGCCUAAUUAAAAUUUAGUAGACAUUGGCCCUUAGGAUCAAUUGAGUUUAGUUUGAGUAUUGUGGUGAAGUCAAGUGCAAAGUAAGUUUGGACUCAUCCCUGAAACUGAUGUCUAAGGUAAGAGGUUACAAAGGCUUAGCCUAAGUGGACUCAUAGUUAUUUAAUUAGUUCCGUUAGCUUACCUGGCCAAUCUAAUUGGUAUCUAAGGCAAGCAACAGAGGGACCCCCACGACCCCACCUCUUACCUGGCUAGUUGAAGGAAGUGCGAACAUACCUAAUUUGCAUCUAAGCUAAGCCACUCUGUAUCAAACUGUUAGGUCUAAGAAACUCAUAGGUGUCUAGGUUUAAUUAUCUGCUAACUUGAUUACAAUUAACACUCAACCACAACUAAUUCUUCUCACCUUUCGUCUUUAGGUCUAAAGCUUUCUUAAGGAUCUCACCUUUAGAACUUCUCUCUUUCUUUCUCUUCUUUUUUUCUUUCUCCCUCUUCUUAAAAAAUAAAAUUUAAAAAAAAAUUGAACCACACACAUUAGGGUUUGCACUGAUACAUGCACGGUAUAAUUUUUUUAUCUUGAUCUAGUUGAAUCUAAUCCUGAAAUUGAACGACCGAUCCAUGUUACACCUAAAAAUUAAAUGGCUAAAAAUUCUGAGAACUACUUAGACAGAUGAAGGAAUAUUUUAUUUCUUUCACCUAUAACCCAUAAAUAUUUUCAUCAUUCUAUGGAAUUAAAUAUUCUGGUUCUAGUCUUAAGGUCGAUUUGAAUCUGAUAGCCUAAAAAUUAGAUAAAGUCGAUCUUCUUAUAGAUAAAUACCUAACCUUAGAUCUACAAUCUCUUAUGCAAUACACAUCAUCUCCCAAUUAUCAGGAGAUUUGUUAUAUCUGUGCUAGCCCAACCCAUCAUGUAAGUGAAUAUCCUAUAGCUGUACAAUUUUCACCUUUAAUUCAAGAACAAGUUCAAGCUACUCAAGGUUACUCCAAUUCUGUCAAUGAUCCAUUCAUAAAUGUAUAUAAUCAAGAUUGAAGGAACCACCUUAAUUUUUUUUGGAGACCCCAACAGACUUAGGCUCAGACCCAAAUUUUUUCUAUGCAAAACUUUCAAAAUUGGCCAUAAUACCAAAACUAUGUCUAUAAUAGAGGUCAACCUGGUCAGUCUAUCCAACCAUCCUAUUACAAUCAGCCUUCAUACCCACCUCCUCAACAGACCAAUCUAGCCGAUGAUAGAUUUAGCCAACUUCAACAAAUGAUCAUGACCCAACAGCAAUCUCUCGCCAGGCUAGAAGUACAAAUAAGUCAAUUAGCUGAAUCUUCUAUGAAGAAAGAACUAGAUCAAUUAUUAAGCCAACUAAUAUCGACUUUCAAAAAUGAUCCAUUCAUCCACCAACCAUCUGGACCUAGUCAUCAAUCUAAUAUCCCACCUAAGAAUAUUCAAUUUGAAAAUGAUAAAGUAAUCUCUAAGUUUAGAAGUAAUAAGAUUCUUAAGGAUCCAUACCAAGACCAAAUGAAAGAGACUAGUACUGAUGCUAGCCAAAAUGAGACUUUGGAAGAAGAAGUUAGUACUGAGACUAACCCAAUAGAAGAACCUGAGUCGAAAAUUAUUACUGAUCUAAGUGAUAAAGAGAAGAGAGCGGAGGAGUUAUCUGAGAUAUAUAAACCAAGAAUCUCAUUUUUUUCAGCCUUAAAGGCCAGUUCUUCCACUUUAGAAUAACCACCGCCUCCAGAACUGAAAUCAUCUUUGAUUACACCUGAGUAUACAUGUUUAAAAUCAAGUGAUACCCUUUCAGUACUUAUUACUUCAAACUCAACUCCUAAUCCAAAAACUUAAUUCAUAAGCAUUUUAGAAGAACAAAAAAGAGAAAUUCUUAAUAAACAAGGGCCUUUGAAUAGGUUUAUGAAUUAUCUUACUACAAUUAAGAAUAGAGAUGUACAAUACGUUCUCAAGAUUGGCAACAAAAUAUUAAAAUUUAUUAUAGACCAUCUUUCUAAGAUAGACAAUUUAAAAUUAUUGAAAUUUAUCAAUUUAAUAUUUGAUACGGGGUAGGUAAAAGAAUCGACAUAAUCUGGCUGAAGACGAUAAACUUAGCACUUUCUGAGAGACAAUCCAGUUUCUAGUUUUUACUUUCUUUUGUAAUUUUUUUAAGAUAAUCGAGUCUUACUUUGUGUCUUUUGUAGGGAUCUGAAGAUAAUUUUGGCUAAGUUGGGGGGAGAAUCAAUUUUAAAAAGAUUUUUAGAUCAGAUGACAUCUCUCCUUUUCUUUCUCUUUACAUGCACCCUUCAUUUUUUCUAUUUUAUUGAGGACAAUGUCGAUUAAGUUGGAGAGGAAGAAUAAUAAAAAUUUUUAAAUUUUUAAAGUCUUCAAGAAAGUUAGUAUUUAGUAUUUAAGCAUCCGAUUACACUUAAGAAUCGAGUUAAACUAUGUAUUUUUAAAAGAAAAUUGAUAUACAGAUUAGAGAGUUUGUGAGAUAUUGAGGGAUCAAGUAUUAAGAAAACUCGAUAAAGAGUUAAGUUUAGAACUUAAACAGUUUUCUUUGAGUAUUUCUAAAUUUUUCUACCAGCAUCAAAGAAGAGUUAUCUUUUUAUGGGCUUGUGUAGGGUAACUAUAUAUUUCUUCAUAUAUAAAAAUUAAAAAAAAAAUUAAGUACUUCAUACUGAGUAACCGGACCUCUUUGCCAAAGCAAGCAUUGAGUUUCAUAUCAAAAGAUAUGAAGAGCAAAGAAGCUUUGUUGUAAAACUAGUAUUAACUCGUAGCCUGUUUGAUUCGAGCAAGUAGGUCCUAGGGGUAUUCUAUACCUAGUACCCUAAAGCCGUCUAGUUUGGGAGUCAUUGGCUGAAAACUCGCUACAUGGGUCAAACAGAAAGCUUAAAAGGUUAAGACACUCAAUAGCGAUACAAUGUUAAAAAAAAAAUUUAAUAAAUGAAGAACGAAAGUAACAAUAUACUUGUCCAUAUGAAGAUUAAUGAUUUAGAGAUAAAUGUAGAAAAAAUUUUAAAAAAAUUAAAAAAAAUUUGAUAUUUUUAUCUUAACACCCACAUUGAUUAGUAUUAAUACUCCAAUGACAUACCUCACUCACAUUCUACUGGACAUCAAUAGCUUUUUAAAAAUUAUUUGAUGAAAUUUGAAACUUUAAGUUAUACGGUACUUAAUUCUAAAUUCUUUCUUUACUCGAGGAUGAGCAAAGUUCAAAUCAGAGGGUGUGAUAAGUGAUAUAUUUUUAUAUUUAUUGUAAAUAUUUUUAAUAAUUUAUGGUACUAACAUCUUCUUAAAAAUUUAAUUUUAUGAAUAAAUUAAAUUAAAAAAAAUAAUUUUAAAAAAAAUAUGAAAUUAGAGCAUAUUUAUGAAAAAUAGAUAUUGAUUUAAUUGAGCAAUUUAAGUAUCAAAAUAAUGAAAAAUUUUUAAAAAAUUUAAUGUAUAUUUUUUUAAUUUUUCAGACAAAAAUCAGAGUAAAAAUUAAGUCAAAAUAUCUAAAAAAAUAAUUUUUAUAGUCUUCGAUGCACGAUGGACUGGCCGCUCGAUCCACAGAAUUAGGGCGCGGUCCAUCAGAAAUAUUUUGCGGUCCACAGAUGCGGUCCUUGGUGGUAGGAAGGCUUUUUGUGCAAUCCGAUGAUUCACAUUCAUCCCAAUCCAGAUCGAAUGGCUGACAGCAUUCUCGAGUGUAAUAAAGAUUCUUGGGCACGAUCUGAUGGUCCAGAUUUCAUCCAUCACGCGAUCCAACGAUUGAGGAUGCUCUCGACUUUGAAUAGGAGAUCAAAAGCAUGAUUUGAUGGCCCAAAUCUCAUCUGAAGCACGAUCGAAUGAUCAGAAUCGCAUCCGAACAUAAUAAGGAGAAAGAAACUAUUUUUUGGGUUAAUCUGGGCGGUCCAAAGAUGAUCCGAUGGUCAGAAAAAUUCUUAAGGGUUUUAUAUAAUUUUUAAAGAUUUUAAUACUCUUUUUUCUAUCAAAAAAAUAUAAAAAAUUUAUCUAUAAAUAGAGAGUCCAAAAAUAAGCCUUGAGGGCAAAAAAUUGAAUGAAAAGUUAUGAAAAAAAUAGAGAAAAAAAUAUUAAAGCUUUAGGGACCCAAGGAGAAGAAGGAAAAAAGUUGAUUUGCUCUACGGAGUAUGAUGGAAGAAGAAGAGGUCAUCAUCCAUCUCUCUGAUAAAGCUGGACUGAUCAACUUCAGAUCUUUAUUAUAGUUUUAUUUUUAUUUUAUUUUACUAUUUUUUUUAAUUCUUUGUACUUGAAUUUCAAUUUCAAUUAAUGCAAAAUUUAUUUUUUUGUACUUUAAAUUUUUAUCUUUUAUUUUUUGUAAGUAGAUGCUAGGAUCUAGUUAGUAGAUCUUAGUAUCAAUUUAUUUUAUAUACUUUAAAUUUUUAUUUUUAUUUUUAUUGCAAGUAGAUGCUAGGAUCUAGUUAGUAGAUCUUAGUACCUGAUUUAUUUUUCAUACUUUUAAUUUUAUUUUUGACAUAAAAUUACUUUCUUUGAAACUUUAUUUUUUUCUAAAAUCAAAGAUUUUAAAUAAAAAUCUUACCUUCUCUGUAGAUUCGAUUCGACUCGCUACUUUCUAUGUAUUUUUAAUUUUUAUUGAAGUCAGAAUUAGAUUAAUAAUCACAGUAUCCUAACGACAACAUCGCGAUCAUAUCAAUGAUCUACACUCUAAUUAUAUCAUCGCAAUGGCUUCGCCCAUACUUCCAAGCACACCCGAUUGUGAUCUUGAUCGAUCAGCCGUUGAAGGUAAUUUUGCAUCAACCUGAUACUUCGGAUCGAAUAGCAAAGUGGACAGUAAAACUUAGCGAAUUCGACAUAUAAUAUCGUCCAUGCUCGUCAAUGAAGGUGCAAGUUCUAGUCGAUUUCGUUGUCGAAUAUAUAGUAUCUGACAAUAAAUCAAAAAAUGAAACUGAUGAUACAAUAAAGCAGACCGUGACCCCCAAACCUGACCUAAAGUCGAUUUGGGUGCUGCACAUUGAUGGAGCAUCUAAUGUGCAGGACAGUGGAGUAGGUUUCAUUCUUACAAAUUUUGAAGGAGUGGUCACUGAAUAUGCCCUUCGGUUCAACUUCAAAACAUCGAAUAAUCAAGCUGAAUAUGAAGCACUCUUAGCCGGCUUGAAAAUCACUAAGGAACUUGACAUUGAUAGUUUGAAGGUCUUCACCGAUUCGUAAUUAAUUACCGAACAGAUCAAGGGCGAGUUUGAAGCCUGAGAUCUAAUCAUGAUGAAGUAUCUUCAAAAGGUGAAGGAUCUUAUAUCAAUCUUGAAAUAUUUUGAGAUCUUUCACAUCUCAAGAACUGAAAAUGCUCCAGCCAAUAUACUCUCCCGAUUUGCAACUACUUCUUUCAACUCGCUGGGUCGAACAUUCAUAGAAUAUCUCGAACAAUCGAGUAUCGACAAGAUUGAGGAGGUAUUACAGCUCACUAUUGAACCAAGUUGGAUGGAUCCAAUCGUCCAGUACUUAACAAAUGGAACACUUCCUAUGGAUCUCUCAAAAGCCAAAUGACUCCGAUGGACGACCUCUCAAUAUAUUAUGAUGAAUGGUCAUCUCUACAAAAGGUCGUUCCUUCUUUUCUUACUAAAAUAUUUGGGACCUACAGAUGUCGAUUAUGCUAUUUGAGAAGUUCACGAAGGAAUUUAUGAAAAUCACUUAAGGGACAAAUCAUUAGCCUAUAAGAUCUUGCGACAAGGAUAUUAUUGGCCUACCAUGAAGAAAAAUACAGCUGAGCUCGUCCGAAGGUAUGAGCUAUGCUAGAAAUAUGCAAAUAUCCAGCACCAACCGACCAGCCAGCUUACAUCAAUUGUUGCACCAUAACCCUUUGCACAAUGAAAAAUUGACAUACUCGAUCCUUUUCUCCCGACAUCUGUCAGAAAAAAUUCAUUGUGGUUGCUAUCAACUACUUCAUCAAAUGGGUAGAAGCUGAACCUCUGGCACAAAUUAUCGAAAAUAAGAUGGAAGACUUCAUUCAGAAAUCAAUCAUAUACAGAUUCAAUUUGCCAUACUCCAUCAUCAUUGAUAACGAUCGACAAUUCGAUAAUCAAAACAUCAAAGAGUCCUGUACGAAAUUUUAUAUUACACACAAACACACCUCAAUCAGCUAUGCACAAUCAAACAAAGAGGUGGAGGUAACCAACCGAACAAUCCUGCAUGGGCUUAAGACUCGACUAAAUGCAGCUAAAGGCCUCUGGGUGGAAGAGCUAUAUCCAGUCUUAUGGGCAUAUCGAACAACUCCUCGCAUACCGAUGGAAGAGUCAUCAUUCAAUUUAGCCUACCAAACAGAAGCAAUGAUCCCGCUCGAGAUUGGAUUCCCAUCAACAAGGGUCGAACAAUACAGUGAAUCGAGCAAUUCUGAAUGUCAGAGAGGUGAUUUAGAUUUACUCCCAGAAGUCAGACAACAAACUCAAGUUCGGAUGGCUACAUAUCGGUAAAGAGUAGUCCGGUACUAUAAUGCAAGAGUCAAACUGAAGGUCUUUCGAUCAGGAGACUUGAUCCUACGGAAAGCAGAAAUCUCGAAACCUUUGGAUAAAAAAAAACUAUCUCCAAAUUGAAAAGAACCUUACAGAAUAGUUGAAACACUCAGACCAGACGCAUAUCGACUGGAAACACUUGAAGGAUCGACUAUUCUCCAAACAUGGAAUGUCUAUAAUUUAAAGAUGUAUCAUUAAUAAAAUCGCCCAUGUACAUAUUAUUCGAAAUGAAACAAAAUUUUAGAAUUUUAAAAUCACAAGUAUCGAUCGACUUUCAUCAAUCAUCGACUAUAUAUCGGCUUUCAUUGUAAAAGCCAAACUAUUGACUAUAUUUCAACACAGAAUUUAUCUCAAUUUUUUAUUAUAAAAAUUGAUAUUAAUUACACCAGCUUUCAUUGUAAAGGCCGUCGUAUUGACUAUGUCUCAGAAUUGAAUAUAUUUCGACUUUUCACUAUAAAAGUUGAGUGCCGACUAUAUCUCGAUAUUAAAUAUAUCUCGAUUUUCACUGAAAAAAUCGAUCGUAGUUGAAAGAUUAGCAUGCCGACUUAGUCUUAUCUAAGUGGAAAAAUAUUAUGCAAAUACGAUCAAGAUCGGAUUGGAAUUAUAUCGAUUUGGCUACGGUCAGUCCAAGGAUAUUUGGCUUGCGAUCGAUUAUCAAAUGAUAUGACGUACAAACUGAUUAAUCGUCAGACUCAGGAUAUUUGACUUAUUAUUAUUUAUCCUAAUUCUUAAAGUACGUCAAAAGGAACUACGCGAUUAACAGAUGAUUCUACAAGUUUCUAUUGAAUGAUCGGUUCAUUGGUUAAUGUUCGGUAGUUAAAUAAUUUGCAUUGUAGGCACGUACAAUCAGACAGAAGUCUUAACUUAGAAAAAUUUUGUUCAUUCAUUAUGAUGAGGUUACAAAAUUGGAUCGAAAUUCAAUUACAAAUGUCUGAUUACAAAAAAAAAAACUACACCGAUCAAACUUCGUCGUCGUCCUUAUCUCUUUGCUCUAGAGUAGCUUCAGGGAUUUGGAUGACUUCUAGUGGUGUCCGUGUUCUUCUUUCAGCCGACAAUGCAUCUUCUUUGGUAGCUCCGUCUUCUGACCUUGGAGGUACAAUGCUGUUCAAAUUGAGAUUCGGGUAUAAUUUUCUGAUCACAUCUCGGCCAUCUUCAUACCUGACGCAAUAAGAGAUGAAUUCACCUUCGAGGAUCUCUUCCUUGAAUUCUGCUGAAUCUUUGAAGUCUUCGAUUGCUCGACUUAAUGCCUCCCUCUCCGACUCUGCUUCCACCUUCGCCAGCUCAGUAUCGGCUCAUGCUAACUCAGCAUUGGCUCAUGUGGAAGACGACUCUUCUUCGGCCAGCACCAACCUUUCAAGGUUGGCUCAAUGUUGUCCACAUUCAGCUUCGAGUUCAGCAAUGCAUUCGUCACGUUCCCGUCGAAGCCGGUGGAUGGAGUGUUUCUUGCUCUUGAUCUUUGACUCGAGAGCUGAAAUAUUUUGACGAGCUGACUCCAGUUUGGCUUCAGAAGAUUCCAAGUCAUCAGUCAAACGAGAGAUCUCCUGCUGAAGAUUGGCCUCCUUCUCAGCUGCUGACUUGAGCUAUUCAAGGGCAGCCACCUUCUCAGCAUCGGCGACCACCACUUUAUUCAUCCACGACUGACGAAAGUUGCCAAAUUUCUUAUAGCCGACUUCCAGAGCAGACAUGUCAUAGAUCAACUGUAAACAGAAGAUAAGUCAGAUCAGAUAUAUAUAUAUAUAUAUAUAUAUAUAUAUAUAUAUAUAUAUAUAUAUAUAUAUAUAGUAGNNNNNNNNNNNNNNNNNNNNAUAUAUAUAUAUAUAUAUAUAUAUAUAUAUAUAUAUAUAUAUAUAUAUAUAUAUAUGAGGAGGUAAAGCAACUUAUCCCGACUAUCAUCAGGUAGAAAGACAAAAAUAUUUCGAUCACUAUCCUUUUUCUUCGAUUCUCCCAAUUAGUCGGGAGAAUUGCGGCGUGGAGAAGCCGCUUGGCCAAUGUUAGAUUGACCAAGGCCGACUCAUCUCAAAGCACUACAAGAUUAAAAGGAUCGUGUGGCCCUCCGAUGCUGCAUCGUUCGUCGAAGUCAUUGGAGUUUUUCCCCGAUCUCCUAUCAGCGGCCCCACAUUUGAAAGCACGGAGAAACUUGAACUGGAUUGCGUCAGAGAAACCCCUGCCAAACGAGCAAUCGAUGCAGCCGCUGAUUGCUCGGAUUCGACUGCAACCUCCACCUUGGCCCGAAUCUCCUCACUUGAUGGAGCUACCGACUCUGCUAUGGGAGUUCCUCUCUUACCAUCCCAUCUGUGGAUGGCGCAGUGAGAAGUGCUGUCGAGGCUGACAGCACUAAGACCGGCUUAAGAAUCGACGGUACUACGGAUUCCUCAAUUGACGUUGAAGCAGUAGUUGGAGCUUGCGUCAAAGCAGCAACUGAACCCGGUGUUGAAGCAGCAACUGAACCUGAUGUUGAAGCAGCAACUGGAGCUUGCACCGAAAUUGCAACUCAACUCUUUUUCGAUGGUCGAGAAGAUCCAGUCUCAGACGCCGCCCUCUUCCUGACGGCGUGCUGACAAAUGUCAGCAAGCGACACUCGCGCCCUCGACUGCAUGGCUGUAAUCAAAACAAAAGUCAACACAAUCCAGAAACAAAGGAAGAAUAAAGUUGGAAAUUACCGACCAUAUUAUACCUAAGUUGGCGACCGAACUAAGACCGGCGUCAUAGAGAGCCUGUUCGGUCAUAAGCUCCCUCUGUGGCAAGACGGCAAUAUCCUUCGAUCGAUAGAAGUCCUCCCGCUCGUCGACCUCCACCCGACUGUUAUCUUGGGACUGGUUCUUGGAUCGCCCUAGCGAGAAGGAAAGCCCCAAGGAAGAGAGGAAGAAGCAAAUAAGAAUUGGUUCUUCCACCCAUGGAUGGACGAUGGAAGAUCGGUAAUAAAAGAAAGACCUUUUCGGAGGUUGAAGAACCACCAACUCCUGACCUUGGGAUAAGGUCAGAGGAUAAAGAAAGUACGAAAAAGAAAAGGAUAAGGUACAGUCGGCAGUAAUCGAUACAACAGAGAAAAACUAAUUAUUAGUCGGAUCGAAUUCGGUGCCAACUGAGUAGGACAGAGACCGUAGUAAUCCAAAAUAUUUCGGACGAACUCUGAAAUCGAAAAUCAAAAAUUCGUCUGAAGAUCUUCGACAUAGAAGGCCACCUGGCACGAAUGAGGGGCAUUCACUCGACCAUCAGGAUUAGGGGCAAAAAGCUAAUACUGCUCCGAUAUGCGAUAUUACUCUUGGAGCCGUUCGACGUUCGGUUCCAAAAGUGAAGAGACCUCCACUUUCGGGUCUGAUGGAGAGUCGUCAGUCAGAUUCUCCGAUCGACUGUCUCGAGAAUAGGAACCCCUAGCCAUUGAAAAGAAAGAAACUAAAGGAGAUGAAGGACGAUUCGGAAAAGACAGGGGACUUAACCUGAAACUCAAAAGGGAAGACUAGAAAGGAAGAAUCUUUAGGCACUGGAACGAUCCUCUAGCAGAGCUUCCGCAGCAAAAUAGACAAAUGAAAAGUAAAAGUUGGUUGAAAGUGACCUUAUAUAUAUAUAGGAUCCUUCAACGGUCAAGAUCGAAGCACUCAAACCAAGAUCUCGCCAGAUAUUAACACAUAGUGAUAUAUGGGCCAACUAUUGAUCGGACGGUUUGACGCAUCUAUUCCAGAUCGAGCCACGUCACUGCUAUCUGCGUGAACAGCUCCAAUGAAAUGAUGUUCGGACACGUGGCAAAGAUUUACUAGUCAGAAUCAUAUCGUCCGGUAACGAUUCAUCUUUCCAAAACGACACCUGAUACUGACAUCCGAUACUGAAUCAUCCUGUCAAUGUGACAGUCUAAUGAUGAUUCUGUACUCACCAAAACGACAAAGCAGCCAACGCUCAUAUCCCAAAAAAACUAGCAGCCAAAUCGGGGUUCGAUAUCGCAUGAAAAGACUUUCUUCGUUCAACAUGACAAACCGCGUGGUGGCACACGUUAGAUCACCUUGGACUUGGGAGUGGGGGGCAAUUAUUGGGGUAAGUCAAUCGACCCUUGACUUAAGUUAACCAACCCCGAACUUCGACUCAACAAAGGUCGACCGACCGAACAUACAAUUCUGACUAUGCAUCGGCUGACACCGGCUCAUGGUUGGCGAACUAAUUGACACUUGGCUGCUACCGACCAAUAGCAGAACAAUCUCCGACUUGAGACCGUCGGUAUAUCAAAACUACUAGCCGAUGGUCACUCGAACAUUCUAUCGACAUACCAAGAUAACCGAUAUAUAAUAGUCGGCCAAUUUGCUCAACGUGCUGUAACCGUUAUGAACGAUUAUCGACUACGUAUUACGACAAUUACUCGAAAUUAACAACCCACUAACUCCAUAAUUAUGGUCCGAUAAUUUAGCGUCAUAAAAAGUGAGACCACGUACUCGACAGUUACAUCAGAUUCAUCUAUAAAAAGAGAGUAAAGAAACGGUACUGGUAAGAUACUGCUGGUCAGAGCUCUGCUACACUCGAUACUCAAAUCUAUUAUUAUUCACCAAUUCCUGCUCUGACUUAAGCAUCGGAGGAUUUCCAUCGGAUACAACUCCGAUAUAUGAGAAUACUAUUUUGCAGAUGCUCAUUAUCGACGACAGACGAUAAAAAAUUAAUCAUAAUAAAAAUAUAUAAAAAAUAAAAAAAUAAAAAUAUUUUUUUGAAGUACCAUAAUAAAAUCUAAUUUUAAACGAUCAGUGUGUUAACAACUCAAACCUUCUCUCUUUUCUUCAGUCUAGAAUCUUCUCUACCUCGGCAUGUGCUCGUGGAACCCACAAUUCUUUUCUAUAUCACCCCAAUAUUUAAUUUUGCAUCCAGGUAGCUGUCUCCAUUAUGUUACGCCGACCCAGUAAUCCUAUCAUAUCUUAUCUUCGUGCCUUUGUCAAUGCAUUUAGAAUUCUUGUCCUUGUUAGGCAAGAGACGUUUUGUAUAUUCGUAUAUUAUUAUAACAUACAACCCUCGCUAAACUAAUAGGGUUUUAUAGGCCAUCCAGGGCCUUUGCCUCUAGGACCCAUAGUUUGGGAUCUUGAACUUGGACAUGCAGACAUUCUCUGCCAGCAGCUUAUAAUCUAUUAUGAGAUUAGGUUUUUUUUUUUAUCUAGUUGUUUUUCUUAAAAAAAAAAGUUGAUGAGAGCAAUGCCAUGUGAAAUCAAAAAUUUAUAGGUUCUAGUGGUGUGAAUCAUAUUUCUUUUAGCACCAUUAGUUUAAUUAUGACAAAAAUAAAUGAUGAAAUUCAAUAAGUCACUAUUUUAGUUUUCCUGUGGAGGGGGCAUUAGUGAGAUCACAUUCUAGCGAUUGUUUGCAUGGCGUACAUGCAUGAAUCCUAGAUUGGUUCUAGAAUUAAACACGUCUCACUUGCCAAAUAAAACAAAGCAAAUUGCAUCCAAUUUCAAGAUAAGUCUAAAUUUUAUGCAGUCAUCCUUACGAUCCUAGCUAUCUAGCUCUACUUAGUGUGCUCCGGCUUAAAUGUCAAGGUCUAAUUUACUAACUCAACCCUAUCUAGUCGGCCAACUAGAUCUAGACCCAAGACCAAAUAUCCAUCCAUGACUUUGUAUUUUGAAUUAUGGUCAUAUGAAAACAAGACCACAUCCAGGUCCACUUGGCUAAUUUGUACUGUCAAUUAAUAUGCGGUUGCUUUCUUGGUAUCGUAGACUACGAGCGUACGACUAUUACAUUUUUUUUUCCCGCCUAAGAAGAGGGAAGCCUUGUGAUCUUCCCCUUGAUGCAUCGUAUGUCAGUGCAACAUAUCAAUUAUAGUUGCUUGUUUUCGUGAAUCCUAUUCAUAAAGCGCCCAUCUUGAUGCACAUCAUAAAAAUCAACAAUUAUGGUUGACAUGGUGCAAUUUCACAUAGUACACAUGGCAUAGAAUAUUGUUGGUGCAUACAGAACGGUGUCAUUGUCAAGUCACGUGACUACGUCAAAGUUAUUUGAAUCAUUCAUACAAAUCAAAUUGGUUAUUUAUCGAUCUAUCUUAAUCUUCAAUUCAACUCUAGGUCGAUCUGAACAGAUCAGAAUUAAUUUUUGAAAACAUGAUCAAUUCGAUUGUUUACCCAUCUACCAUAUAGGAUAUCGAGCAGGAACCGAUGUAACCGAUAUGACUCUAAAACACACAUGGUUAUCUUACAGCUAUCGUCCAACUCGAUAGCAGCUGUUUUCUAAUCAUACUACAAUUAAUCUCUACAUACGUAAAUAACUCACGAUCUUCAUACAGCUUGUCAUUCUAUUGUAAUAAACUAGCGGCCUAAUAAACUCUCCUAAUGACCUAACAGUCUAAGCAAAUCUCCUUUAUAUAAAGAUAGGUAGAAUGUCCCUCCAGAAGAUAAGUGAGAAUUCAUAAAGCUGAGACUUUAUUAAAUUCCUUUCAACUCUCUUACUGAAGGAAAUAAAAGUCCUCGUUCUGCUGACUCAAUAUUUUUUCUUCUGUCUUUUAAUUUUUUCAUUUCUACCGUUAGUUUUCAAGACUCUGACUGGCUUAAUCAUCAAAAAAAUUUUAAAUUAAAAAAUAUCCUAUCAAUUUUAAAAGUUUUUUUAUAGGGCUAUUUGUGAUUUGCAUCGAAUCGAUCUUCAACAAUAUUUUAAUUCAACCUCAUACCGAUCUCGCCAUGUUCCUUCUGGAGCCUUAUGACAUCAGAUAUAAUCUCCCUCAAGAUUGUGCAGAUGCUCAAUGUUUUACGUGGGCGCGCACUCCAAAAUGCCUACUUCCCACUUUGGCAAGCCGCAAGUUUCUACGCAAUCCAAAUAUUAUAUUAAGUUUUACCUCGUGAUGAAAUGAGGAAGGAGCCAAGAAGGAGGCAUGAUGCGGAACACGGUCAAAUUACCUUUAUUUUAAUGGUAUUAGCACACGUGAGUGUUUCUCUUUUACCUCAACAUCCAAAUACCGGAAGGAGGAGCCCCUCGUUCUCGUCAUCCUUCGUAUGUUUUCUAAGAUAGAAGACAAGUGGAUCCAUAAAGUCUAUGGUCAAAUUCAAACAGGACCUAGACCCGUCAACCUUAUCUUUUCUUCCAGCCCCACACCUGCCCCUUCUCGUGGCUGUUCCACCCGCCCACCCUUCCCAUCCAAAAGUCUCAUUUUCUAAUGAACUGGGAAUCAUCCAACCUUCUCAUGCAAGCAUUUCCACAAGCUUCCUUGUUUCUUCUAGCACGCAACAUCAAUUCCUGCUUGAAGUGUCGCUAUGUUAUUGAUUGUUUGAUAAAGAUGAUGUGGAGAAGUAUGACUAGGAAUAAGAGUGCUUUGCUUGAGUGAUACUUUGUCAAGGACUAUAAUAUAUAAUCAAUUAGAAUCAUGGGGUGAUGACUAUAAUAGGCCUCCGGUUUCUUAUGCCGUCUUUGACCACGAUACCAUAGGAGAAGGUCCAAUAACUAGCAUGUCUUUUUAGCGACACAAAAACUAAUAUGUUAUCUCACUUGCUUGAAUAACUUUUCCUCCAAAUUCUUGCUCCUUUUUUUUUUUCCUUUUUGGGAGGUGGGGGAAGCGGGGUUUCUCAGCAAGGUGGCUAAUGUUAAAAUUUUGUUCAACUUGUUUUAGAAAAUACAUUCAUCAAUCCUCUAUUACAAAAUUUACGGUUCUGACAAUCACCUCUUAAUAAUGUAGUAUGAAGUUCUUAUUUUAUUUUUUUUAUUCCAUUUCUAUAUGAAAAAUAUGAAGAAAUUGAAAGCAUUGUUGUUAAAGAAGUUCGAUUUAUAUUUCUUUGUUUAAAAAGAUCUAUUUAGUGCAAGAUUAAAAGGUAAUUAGGUUUGAGUAGUUGGUUAUCUAUACUAGUAUAUAAUGUGAACUUUUGCUAUUUAUCCCAAAGUGCUAUGAUCAUCAAUCCAUCUAAACCUUAGAUAUUGUGCUUUACAAACAUUUUGCUUUGGCAAAUGAGAGCGACAGUAUUGAUUUUUUUUUUUUAAUUCUUGGGUCUUAUUCUUAGAUAUUGUCAUGAUGAUGAUAGUUACAACCCAUAUAUGUCAUAUUGUUAUCAUUACUCUAUAUCUUUUGAAGUCUCAUCCUUUUUGUAAUUAUCAAAGUAGAUGUUAACAUUGCUUAAUACAUAGCAUUAAGCGCAACCUUUGAUUUGUUUAAGAGAGAAUGGUCAUCGAGAAUGCGGCACAGCAUAUAAUCCGAUGAUCAUGAUCAAUAGAAACAUCAUUUUAACAACUACAAAACUAUUUAUCGAGAGUGUGUCAAAAGUACUAUACAUUAAUGAUAAGUACUGGAAAUCAAUGUAACAUAAUGUAACAUGAAAUUACAAGUAUACUAUAUCUUUGUCGCUUUGUUAAUACAUAACACUCAAUGAAAGUCGAAUCAUGAUUCAUUUCAUAAAUCUAUCUCUCUAUUAUAACUUAUCGUUUGUGCGGCGGCACUUGUUCACUUUUCUUAAUUUCAAGCUUGAAAUUGACACCACGGGCACUACAAAGUCAAUUUAAAUGUUUUCUAGUGGAGUACAAAAAAAAUUCUUAAAAAUCUUUGAUCAAUUUUGUCAAACCCUCGUAACCUCAAAAGUUUCCCAACCUUUUGAGCCACAAGAGAUUUUGCUAUAAUUUUAACAUUUUUAGAUAAGAUCAGUUGCAAACAAUUUUCAUGAAUCAUAACUUACAAGCCUUGGAGUAUUAUCACUACAGUUUUCUUUUUAGAUAAGUUGAAUGAUCAAAACUCUAAAUCAUACCAGCAAAAUAGGCUCCUUUCUGUCAGCACAUCACAAUUCCACCAACAGUAGACCUUCUAGAAACCCCUUAAUGUUCAUGAAUCUUUCAAUCCCCUAAAAGAUCACGUGCAAAUAUUAUUACUAAUACAUUAAAUGUGCAUUAUUAAAAGAACAUUGAUAGGUUGUUGGAGCUUUCCUCAACACCCUACAGUUUAUAAUUAUUGUGUGAGGACCAAGCAACGGGAACUAGAUGUACAACAUUAAACGCAUAUAAAACGUUACGGGGACAAUGGAUGGGGACUCGAAGAGAGAGAGAAGAAAAGGCCGGGUUGGAGUAAAUAGUAAUAGGUCGCAGCAGCGCCUGCAAUGCCUUCUAAAGGCCAGCUAUUAUCGUGGUGUAUUAACCCGACAGCCAACAGCGUACUGGUCCAAUAAAACAAACUCCAAAAAGAUCGAACGGGUCAAUUAUUUGAUAAAUGACGACGUGGCCUAAGUGUGGUUAGGGUUGUUACGGUGUCGGUGUGUGGGGUGGAGAGCGGAGGGAAUAUAGUUCCCAAAUGAGAGAAGCGACAACUCAAACGGGGGAGAGGGGCGAUGUAUGCGGGGUGGCGGUGGUGGUGGUCCCCCCAUUACCUCACCUUAUCCUUCCAAGUCGUCCAGAAACAUUGCAUCUUUCUUUCCCACUUGUCAUCGCCAAUUCCUCGCCGGCUUUCUGACCUCGCAUUGGUGUCCGUUUGCUGAUGGUUGGAAUUCCUCCUCUUAUCCUAAUGGAGAUAUUUUUUUGAGAGCUGAUAUCAAUUAAAUAGAAAAAUAAAAAAUUAUUCCAUUAUAUUUUUAGCUAGAAAAAAGAAUGAGACAUUUUUGUACGGCCUUGAUCCAUUUUGUUUAGAAGUUCUGAAGGAUUUUUAAAUCAGUUAUUCAAGUUUAUAAAAUUUAGUAAUUUUAUCAAAAAAUUGAACAAGUUUUAACCUUUGUUUUUAGAGAUUUUGAAUGUAUGUUAUGUAAGAUGUUUAACUAGUAGACAAAUAUGAAUGGACAAGUGACAUGGGAAGUCAAUGGAAUUCUUCUUAUGUUGCACAAAAUAAAAAAUAUUAUAUUUGCAAACAAAAAAAUUAUAAUUGUAAGAAAUUCAGCCGAUUGUAGUUUUGCUUUGCAAAGUUUUCAUUGGAUGAAGUAUAGAUUAUAUAUAAUAUAAUGUUUCAUCUGAUUUGUUAUUGAACAGAUAGAUUAGACGAAUAUAUAUUUAUGAGACAUGAUCUUGAAUAUCAAAUAAAUUGUAUUCAUCAAAAUAGGACUCUAGAAUUUUAGUGAAUCCAACCUCGUUAAAUCUAUGCUCAUGAAAUUUAACAGACUAGCUAGCCAUGUGAAACAUUGUUAUCUCAAUAUUCACUCAUGGUUGGACUACAAAAUUAAUCUUAGAUUGCAUUCCAGGCUUCUAUUGUCCCUUCGAUUAUGCGUCAGCUUGCUCAUACUAUUAUUGUGCUUGGCUCCCCAGACAUUACUGUAUCCAAAUCCUCGCACAUUCUUCUUUGCAUAUUUAGCUAGUAUCUCAAGCUCUGCUUCCUCUAGUUCUACAUCCAUAAAAAUCACAUAUUGAAGUGCUCCAAAGAGUGAACUUAUUACCUCCUCUUAUUUUCAAGUUGUUGGUCAUUUAAACCACAGCUAUCACAAAUGAACUGUACAUGGGAAUUCUAAUGGAAAAUUGUUAAAAUGAAUGUAGAGAAAUGCAUGUGAAUUGAAAAUUACACAUCCAUACAGAGAAAGUAUGGCAACCUGUAGCAGAUAGCGUCCGAUGUCAUCUCUUAUUUUCCUUGUGAGAUUUGGAUGUGACCCCAAUGCCUUCUCAUUUUUCACAUUGAGAGAGAGCAUCGAAGGUCUUGUCCUAGCAAGCUACAAUUUCACAAACCUAGCAUAGGGACCUAAUUGUGGGGCUCAAAUAUGUGACAUUUGAUCACAACAUUUAACCAAACAUACAGUAAAAAAGAAAAUCUAAUUUGCUAUUGAUGAAGGAUGAUGAAAUCUCCACUCGGCCUUGGUUCUCCGGGGAAAAAAAGAAACAAACAAACUUACAGCGGAUUUAUUAUGUGGUAGGCUCUUUCUUCCGCCAGUUUCUUCGCUGCUUCCGACUGCCGAUGAAAGCGGCGAGUAAAUAAAAUCAACGGCCAAGUCUUGACCAGGAGACCCAAGUAACGACAAAGCCUAGGCUGACAUGGCGCGCCGCUGACGACCUCACUCGUGACGUCACGUUUCCAUGAGUCCUUCGCCCCCUUCCUUUUAAUUACAACACCAAACCAAUUGAACAAAAACAGUACAAACAAUUUUUUUUAAAAAAAAAAUCACUUUACCAAGAAGCAAUUACAAUAAUUAAAAAAUUGUAGUUCCAACACGUGCUUGCACUGACGAAAUUUCAUGGAAGCACGGGCUCUUUACCCCACCCUCACCCUACUCGCACUCCCGUAUAUAAAUACUUCACUCCUCUCCGCUCCUUUCCAGAAUUCUGCUCACCUUCCGACUUCCAACCCACUCCACACCUCAGAGUCGCCUCUUAUCCUCAACAGCGGUGAGCAGAAAUGUACCCGCAGGAGCCGAGCCCCGGGGCGGAGCUGGCCGUUCUCGAGUUUGUCCGCCAACACCUCCUCGAUGACCCCGCCCCCUCGGCCGGGGUCCCGUCCUCCGCGGUGACUCCACCUUCCGUUUACUGCCGGAGUUGCAGCUUUGGCAGCCUCGUCGCCGCCCAGUGGGGUGACCUCCCCUUCCGCCUCGACGACUCCGACGACAUGGUCGUCUAUGGCGCCCUCCGGGACGCCUACUCCCACGGCUGGAACCCCUCCCCCGAAGCCGGUCCCGUCACCGCCUCCGCCGUUGUCGUCAAAUCGGAGCCCGUUACCGAGCUGCCUCCACCGACGCCGGCGCUAGCGAUUCAGGUGCCUCCGGCACAGCCCGCGCCAGAGGCACCGGCAGCGCCGGCGGCGCCGGCGAAGGGGAAGCACUACAGAGGGGUGCGGCAGCGGCCGUGGGGGAAGUUCGCGGCGGAGAUCCGAGAUCCGGCGAAGAACGGGGCGAGGGUUUGGCUGGGGACGUUCGAAACGGCGGAGGAGGCCGCCAUCGCCUACGACAAAGCUGCCUAUCGGAUGCGCGGCUCCCGCGCGCUCCUCAACUUCCCGCUCCGGAUCAGCUCGGAGGCGGCCGCGGCACCGGCGGUGGUGUCUCCGUCGAAGCGGGCCUCGCCGGAGCCCUCUUCCACCUCCUCCGCCUCUUCCUCUCCCCGCUCCCCCUCGUCGUCGUCGUCUUCCUCGUCGGCGAAGGCGUCGCCGAAGAGGAGGAAGAAAGGGGAGGCCGCGGCGGCGGCGAUGGCGAUGGCGAUGGCGAUGCCUCCGGUAGCGGCGGCCCCCAUGCCUCUCUCUUCUUCUCCGGUUCCGGUUCAAGCGCAGGCCGGUCUGGGUUUCGGGAACCGGACGGAGAGUUUCUCGGUUGGGCCUGUCGUCCAAUUUAC